UGAGGAAUAUUGCGCAAUGGGCGCAAGCCUGACGCAGCGACACCGCGUGAAGGAUGAAGGCUUUAGGGUCGUAAACUUCUGUUAAGUGGGAAGAAAAGGGUAGUUCUAAUACAACUAUUUUAUGACGGUACCACUAGAGAAAGCACCGGCUAACUUCGUGCCAGCAGCCGCGGUAAGACGAGGGGUGCAAACGUUAUUCGGAAUGAUUGGGCGUAAAGGGUGCGCAGGCGGUAUAUUAAGUCAACUGUUAAAUUCCUCAGCUUAACUGAGGCCCAGCGGUAGAUACUGGUAUACUUGAGAGUGGAAGAGAGAAGUGGAAUUCUCGGAGUAGCGGUAAAAUGCGUAGAUCUCGAGAGGAACACCGAUGGCGAAGGCAGCUUCUUGGUCCAUUUCUGACGCUCAUGCACGAAAGCGCGGGGAGCAAACAGG
Molecule: ribosomal RNA, 429 nt
Filed under: uncultured bacterium
Lineage: Bacteria
Description: bacterial SSU rRNA
Rfam family: Bacterial small subunit ribosomal RNA
Source: RNAcentral